RNAcentral lists this ribosomal RNA (717 nucleotides) under uncultured Actinobacillus sp. RNAcentral describes it as "bacterial SSU rRNA". It matches the Rfam family "Bacterial small subunit ribosomal RNA", at positions 99 to 812 of the family's 1533-position model. The record is from RNAcentral. Lineage: Bacteria; Pseudomonadati; Pseudomonadota; Gammaproteobacteria; Pasteurellales; Pasteurellaceae.
CGGACGGGUGAGUAAUGCUUGGGAAUCUGGCUUAUGGAGGGGGAUAACUACGGGAAACUGUAGCUAAUACCGCGUAAUAUCUUCGGAUUAAAGGGUGGGACUUUCGGGCCACCUGCCAUAAGAUGAGCCCAAGUGGGAUUAGGUAGUUGGUGGGGUAAAGGCCUACCAAGCCGACGAUCUCUAGCUGGUCUGAGAGGAUGACCAGCCACACUGGAACUGAGACACGGUCCAGACUCCUACGGGAGGCAGCAGUGGGGAAUAUUGCACAAUGGGGGGAACCCUGAUGCAGCCAUGCCGCGUGAAUGAAGAAGGCCUUCGGGUUGUAAAGUUCUUUCGGUGAUGAGGAAGGUGUUUGUUUUAAUAGAACAAGCAAUUGACGUUAGUCACAGAAGAAGCACCGGCUAACUCCGUGCCAGCAGCCGCGGUAAUACGGAGGGUGCGAGCGUUAAUCGGAAUGACUGGGCGUAAAGGGCACGCAGGCGGUGACUUAAGUGAGAUGUGAAAGCCCCGAGCUUAACUUGGGAAUUGCAUUUCAUACUGGGUCGCUAGAGUAUUUUAGGGAGGGGUAGAAUUCCACGUGUAGCGGUGAAAUGCGUAGAGAUGUGGAGGAAUACCGAAGGCGAAGGCAGCCCCUUGGGAAUAUACUGACGCUCAUGUGCGAAAGCGUGGGGAGCAAACAGGAUUAGAUACCCUGGUAGUCCACGCUGUAAACGCUGU